This 76-nucleotide transfer RNA is filed under the name Bacteriophage sp. RNAcentral's name for it is "tRNA-Pro". It matches the Rfam family "tRNA". From Rfam's summary of the family: Transfer RNA (tRNA) molecules are approximately 80 nucleotides in length. Their secondary structure includes four short double-helical elements and three loops (D, anti-codon, and T loops). Further hydrogen bonds mediate the characteristic L-shaped molecular structure. tRNAs have two regions of fundamental functional importance: the anti-codon, which is responsible for specific mRNA codon recognition, and the 3' end, to which the tRNAs corresponding amino acid is attached (by aminoacyl-tRNA synthetases). tRNAs cope with the degeneracy of the genetic code in two manners: having more than one tRNA (with a specific anti-codon) for a particular amino acid; and 'wobble' base-pairing, i.e. permitting non-standard base-pairing at the 3rd anti-codon position. The record is from RNAcentral. RNAcentral also lists the same sequence under 1 other name.
CCGGGUGUAGCUCAGUUGGAAGAGCGCGUGCUUUGGGAGCAUGAGGCCGCAGGAUCGUGACCUGUCACUCGGACCA